GGGAUCCGUUCUGCUUCCGCACAUCCGUCCAUCGCCCCCCUUAGGACUGUCGCCCCUUCUAUUCCCUUUGCCCCCAGAUUCCUGGUACCUUUGCAUAAUAAUUGGAAUUCUCCCUCAGCUCUUGAAUUUGUUCAGAUCUGGGCUAGGAAGCGAGCGUCUCUCCUCCACCCCUGGCAUGCAGUGAUGAC
Molecule: long non-coding RNA, 188 nt
Filed under: Mustela putorius furo (domestic ferret)
Lineage: Eukaryota; Metazoa; Chordata; Mammalia; Carnivora; Mustelidae
Description: lncRNA (ENSMPUG00000031062.1)
Source: RNAcentral